UGCGUAGGCGGAAUAUUAAGUCGGUGGUGAAAUCCUGCGGCUCAACCGUAGAACUGCCAUUGAUACUGAUAUUCUUGAAUGUAGUUGAGGUAGGCGGAAUGUGUAAUGUAGCGGUGAAAUGCUUAGAUAUUACACAGAACACCGAUUGCGAAGGCAGCUUACUAAACUAUGAUUGACGCUGAGGCACGAAAGCGUGGGGAGCGAACAGGAUUAGAUACCCUGGUAGUCC
RNAcentral lists this ribosomal RNA (229 nucleotides) under uncultured bacterium. Its description in RNAcentral is "partial 16S ribosomal RNA". It matches the Rfam family "Bacterial small subunit ribosomal RNA", at positions 568 to 796 of the family's 1533-position model. The record is from RNAcentral.